Molecule: ribosomal RNA, 269 nt
Filed under: uncultured bacterium
Lineage: Bacteria
Description: partial 16S ribosomal RNA
Rfam family: Bacterial small subunit ribosomal RNA
Source: RNAcentral
GUCCACGCCCUAAACGAUGUCAACUGGUUGUUGGGUCUCUUCUGACUCAGUAACGAAGCUAACGCGUGAAGUUGACCGCCUGGGGAGUACGGCCGCAAGGUUGAAAACUCAAAAGGAAUUGACGGGGACCCGCACAAGCGGUGGAUGAUGUGGUUUAAUUCGAUGCAACGCGAAAAACCUUACCCACCUUUGACAUGUAACGGAAUUCGCCAGAGAUGGCUUAGUGCUCGAAAAGAGAGCCGUAAACACAGGUGCUGCAUGGCUGUCGU